This 763-nucleotide ribosomal RNA is filed under the name Acinetobacter sp. IPPW-19. RNAcentral's name for it is "bacterial SSU rRNA". It matches the Rfam family "Bacterial small subunit ribosomal RNA", at positions 44 to 800 of the family's 1533-position model. Lineage: Bacteria; Pseudomonadati; Pseudomonadota; Gammaproteobacteria; Moraxellales; Moraxellaceae. The record is from RNAcentral.
GAGCUUACACAUGCAAGUCGAGCGGAGCGAGGGUGCUUGCACCUUAGCUUAGCGGCGGACGGGUGAGUAAUGCUUAGGAAUCUGCCUAUUAGUGGGGGACAACAUUCCGAAAGGAAUGCUAAUACCGCAUACGCCCUACGGGGGAAAGCAGGGGAUCUUCGGACCUUGCGCUAAUAGAUGAGCCUAAGUCGGAUUAGCUAGUUGGUGGGGUAAAGGCCUACCAAGGCGACGAUCUGUAGCGGGUCUGAGAGGAUGAUCCGCCACACUGGGACUGAGACACGGCCCAGACUCCUACGGGAGGCAGCAGUGGGGAAUAUUGGACAAUGGGCGGAAGCCUGAUCCAGCCAUGCCGCGUGUGUGAAGAAGGCCUUUUGGUUGUAAAGCACUUUAAGCGAGGAGGAGGCUACUUAGAUUAAUACUCUAGGAUAGUGGACGUUACUCGCAGAAUAAGCACCGGCUAACUCUGUGCCAGCAGCCGCGGUAAUACAGAGGGUGCGAGCGUUAAUCGGAUUUACUGGGCGUAAAGCGUGCGUAGGCGGCUUUUUAAGUCGGAUGUGAAAUCCCCGAGCUUAACUUGGGAAUUGCAUUCGAUACUGGGAAGCUAGAGUAUGGGAGAGGAUGGUAGAAUUCCAGGUGUAGCGGUGAAAUGCGUAGAGAUCUGGAGGAAUACCGAUGGCGAAGGCAGCCAUCUGGCCUAAUACUGACGCUGAGGUACGAAAGCAUGGGGGAGCAAACAGGGAUUAGAUACCCUGGUAGUCCAUGC